ACGCUGGCGGCGUGCCUAAUACAUGCAAGUAGAACGCUGAAGAGAGGAGCUUGCUCUUCUUGGAUGAGUUGCGAACGGGUGAGUAACGCGUAGGUAACCUGCCUUGUAGCGGGGGAUAACUAUUGGAAACGAUAGCUAAUACCGCAUAACAAUGGAUGACACAUGUCAUUUAUUUGAAAGGGGCAAUUGCUCCACUACAAGAUGGACCUGCGUUGUAUUAGCUAGUAGGUGAGGUAAUGGCUCACCUAGGCGACGAUACAUAGCCGACCUGAGAGGGUGAUCGGCCACACUGGGACUGAGACACGGCCCAGACUCCUACGGGAGGCAGCAGUAGGGAAUCUUCGGCAAUGGGGGCAACCCUGACCGAGCAACGCCGCGUGAGUGAAGAAGGUUUUCGGAUCGUAAAGCUCUGUUGUAAGUCAAGAACGGGUGUGAGAGUGGAAAGUUCACACUGUGACGGUAGCUUACCAGAAAGGGACGGCUAACUACGUGCCAGCAGCCGCGGUAAUACGUAGGUCCCGAGCGUUGUCCGGAUUUAUUGGGCGUAAAGCGAGCGCAGGCGGUUUGAUAAGUCUGAAGUUAAAGGCUGUGGCUCAACCAUAGUUCGCUUUGGAAACUGUCAAACUUGAGUGCAGAAGGGGAGAGUGGAAUUCCAUGUGUAGCGGUGAAAUGCGUAGAUAUAUGGAGGAACACCGGUGGCGAAAGCGGCUCUCUGGUCUGUAACUGACGCUGAGGCUCGAAAGCGUGGGGAGCGAACAGGAUUAGAUACCCUGGUAGUCCACGCCGUAAACGAUGAGUGCUAGGUGUUGGAUCCUUUCCGGGAUUCAGUGCCGCAGCUAACGCAUUGAGCACUCCGCCUGGGGAGUACGACCGCAAGGUUGAAACUCAAAGGAAUUGACGGGGGCCCCCACAAGCGGUGGAGCAUGUGGUUUAAUUCGAAGCAACGCGAAGAACCUUACCAGGUCUUGACAUCCCGAUGCUAUUUCUAGAGAUAGAAAGUUACUUCGGUACAUCGGUGACAGGUGGUGCAUGGUUGUCGUCAGCUCGUGUCGUGAGAUGUUGGGUUAAGUCCCGCAACGAGCGCAACCCCUAUUGUUAGUUGCCAUCAUUCAGUUGGGCACUCUAGCGAGACUGCCGGUAAUAAACCGGAGGAAGGUGGGGAUGACGUCAAAUCAUCAUGCCCCUUAUGACCUGGGCUACACACGUGCUACAAUGGUUGGUACAACGAGUUGCGAGUCGGUGACGGCGAGCUAAUCUCUUAAAGCCAAUCUCAGUUCGGAUUGUAGGCUGCAACUCGCCUACAUGAAGUCGGAAUCGCUAGUAAUCGCGGAUCAGCACGCCGCGGUGAAUACGUUCCCGGGCCUUGUACACACCGCCCGUCACACCACGAGAGUUUGUAACACCCGAAGUCGGUGAGGUAACCUUUUGGAGCCAGCCGCCUAAGGUGGGACAGAUGAUUGGGG
Molecule: ribosomal RNA, 1463 nt
Filed under: uncultured organism
Description: SSU rRNA
Rfam family: Bacterial small subunit ribosomal RNA
Source: RNAcentral